GAUGAACGCUAGCUACAGGCUUAACACAUGCAAGUCGAGGGGCAGCAGGAUCUAGCAAUAGAUUGCUGGCGACCGGCGCACGGGUGAGUAACACGUAUCCAACCUGCCGAUAACUCGGGGAUAGCCUUUCGAAAGAAAGAUUAAUACCCGAUGGCAUAAUUAGACCGCAUGGUCUUAUUAUUAAAGAAUUUCGGUUAUCGAUGGGGAUGCGUUCCAUUAGGCAGUUGGUGAGGUAACGGCUCACCAAACCUUCGAUGGAUAGGGGUUCUGAGAGGAAGGUCCCCCACAUUGGAACUGAGACACGGUCCAAACUCCUACGGGAGGCAGCAGUGAGGAAUAUUGGUCAAUGGGCGUAGGCCUGAACCAGCCAAGUAGCGUGAAGGAUGACUGCCCUAUGGGUUGUAAACUUCUUUUAUAUGGGAAUAAAGUUUUCCACGUGUGGAAUUUUGUAUGUACCAUAUGAAUAAGGAUCGGCUAACUCCGUGCCAGCAGCCGCGGUAAUACGGAGGAUCCGAGCGUUAUCCGGAUUUAUUGGGUUUAAAGGGAGCGUAGGUGGACAGUUAAGUCAGUUGUGAAAGUUUGCGGCUCAACCGUAAAAUUGCAGUUGAUACUGGCUGUCUUGAGUACAGUAGAGGUGGGCGGAAUUCGUGGUGUAGCGGUGAAAUGCUUAGAUAUCACGAAGAACUCCGAUUGCGAAGGCAGCUCACUGGACUGCAACUGACACUGAUGCUCGAAAGUGUGGGUAUCAAACAGGAUUAGAUACCCUGGUAGUCCACACAGUAAACGAUGAAUACUCGCUGUUUGCGAUAUACAGUAAGCGGCCAAGCGAAAGCAUUAAGUAUUCCACCUGGGGAGUACGCCGGCAACGGUGAAACUCAAAGGAAUUGACGGGGGCCCGCACAAGCGGAGGAACAUGUGGUUUAAUUCGAUGAUACGCGAGGAACCUUACCCGGGCUUAAAUUGCAUUUGAAUAAUCUGGAAACAGGUUAGCCGUAAGGCAAAUGUGAAGGUGCUGCAUGGUUGUCGUCAGCUCGUGCCGUGAGGUGUCGGCUUAAGUGCCAUAACGAGCGCAACCCUUAUCUUUAGUUACUAACAGGUCAUGCUGAGGACUCUAGAGAGACUGCCGUCGUAAGAUGUGAGGAAGGUGGGGAUGACGUCAAAUCAGCACGGCCCUUACGUCCGGGGCUACACACGUGUUACAAUGGGGGGUACAGAAGGCAGCUACCUGGUGACAGGAUGCUAAUCCCAAAAGCCUCUCUCAGUUCGGAUCGAAGUCUGCAACCCGACUUCGUGAGGCUGGAUUCGCUAGUAAUCGCGCAUCAGCCAUGGCGCGGUGAAUACGUUCCCGGGCCUUGUACACACCGCCCGUCAAGCCAUGAAAGCCGGGGGUACCUGAAGUACGUAACCGCAAGGAGCGUCCUAGGGUAAAACUG
This 1433-nucleotide ribosomal RNA is filed under the name uncultured organism. RNAcentral describes it as "SSU rRNA". It matches the Rfam family "Bacterial small subunit ribosomal RNA". The record is from RNAcentral.